UCUUUACCUGUAAUCUCUAAUCACACUAACUGAUGAAAAACACUUAAGUGUUAGUAAGUUUGUGCACCCUUUAGAGUUUUUUUAACUGUUAAUUUAGAGGUGAAUUAGAGUUAAUCUGCUUUCAGGCAGUGGGAUUGUUAGUGCGUGCCUCGUUUUAUUUAAAGAACCUGCAAAGUCUGAUCUUUACAACACAAACAAAGGAGAUUGUUGAUGACUUCAGAAAGAGUUGCUGUUGCUCAUCAGGCUGAAAAAAGGUUAAACAGCCCCUGAUGUGGUCGACCAAUAAAGAUCCCUCUAAAGCAAGACGUGUGAUAGUCCGUGAGGUCACAAAGGAACCCAGAGUAACUUUUAAGCCCCUAAAGGUCUCUCUUAUGUUGGCUAAUGUUAACGUUCAUGAGUCCACAUUCAGGAGAACACUGAACAACCUGGUGUGUGUGUGUGUGUGGGAGAGUCGCAGGGAGAACGUCACUACAAGAAGAACUUUGUUUCUCAUCUGAAGUUUGCUGAAGAUCAUGUGGACGAAACAGAGGUCUUUUGGAAAAAGGACAGUGACAAGACAAUGACCCAAGAAAACAACUCGUCCUUCCACCGAAUGUUUAAAGAGGAAGCAGGAGAAGAAGAAGCUGUUCUGUAGUGAGGAAUGGGCCAAAAGCUCCAAGCUGUUAUUCAGGACUGAUCACCAGCUACACAAAUGUGUACUUACUGUUGUACAGUCUGGUUAGAACAGAUACUGAAAAUCCUAAAGGGUUCACAAACUUUACCAGCACCACUCUAUGUUGUCACUGACCAUAUUCUCUCUCUCCCUCCCUCUCUCUCUCCUACUCUCUCUCUCCCACUCCCUCCCUCUCUCUCUCCCACUCUCUCUCUCCCUCCCUCUCUCUCUCCCA
This is a long non-coding RNA of Tachysurus fulvidraco (yellow catfish), 887 nucleotides long. RefSeq lists it as uncharacterized. The transcript is spliced from 3 exons. The record is from RefSeq and is a predicted model, not a curated record. NCBI's taxonomy places the organism in Eukaryota, Metazoa, Chordata, Actinopteri, Siluriformes, Bagridae.